Non-coding RNA from Chlorocebus sabaeus (green monkey), 688 nucleotides. The record is from RefSeq and is a predicted model, not a curated record. Lineage: Eukaryota; Metazoa; Chordata; Mammalia; Primates; Cercopithecidae.
CCCCGAAAGUGCUGGGAUUACAGGCGUGAGCCACCGCACCUGGCCAAUCAUGACUAUUUUUAAUUGUAGCAUUUUAAAAUUUAACUUCUAAAUUAUGAAAAGAAUGUGUGACUAAUAGAAUAAUUUGGGUACAAUUGAAUCCAUUUUACCAAUAAAGUAAGCUUUUAAUUAAGUAAUAAAUCCUUUAAAAGAGAUGCUAAAUGUAGUAGCAGCAUAAUUGGAUCCUAGUGUACUGAUAUGGUCUUGAAUAUGUUAAGAAAAUGUUGUUUGUUAGAAGAGUUUCAAGAUAUUUCAGAAGGAGGAAGGCACUCUUCCAUUAACCCUUAGUGUGUGUUUUUGUUUCAUUUUGGGUUGACUGUUUUGUGUUGCUGCAUGAUGCCUCUAGUACAAGGCCAACACCUCCAUGUCUCAUGUCUUUGCUGCUCCCCUCCUCUGCCAUCUCCCUUCCACCCAGCAUCAACUGAGUCCAUGCUUGUUAACCAGCUCCAUACACCACAUCCAGCAAAGCUCGGAAUGACUCACAGUCACAAACAACCAGGGCACUGAUCUUUUCUCUGUGUCCUUCCAGGUUCUUCUGAGGACAACCUGGGUUUAGUGAGACCACCACCAAGUGAAGAUGAUGAUUGUGAUGAUGAUGAUGAUGAUGAUGUCCAGAUUUUACCAUCACGUGUCCAGGCUUGGCCUGAGA